CCUACGGGGGGCAGCAGUGGGGAAUAUUGGUCAAUGGGCGCAAGCCUGACCCAGCAACGCCGCGUGAAGGAAGAAGGCUUUCGGGUUGUAAACUUCUUUUCUCAGGGACGAAGCAAGUGACGGUACCUGAGGAAUAAGCCACGGCUAACUACGUGCCAGCAGCCGCGGGAAUACGUAGGUGGCAAGCGUUAUCCGGCUUUACUGGUUGUAAAGGGCGUGUAGGCGGGAAAGCAAGUCAGAUGUGAAAACCAUGGGCUCAACCUGUGGCCUGCAUUUGAAACUGUUUUUCUUGAGUACUGGAGAGGCAGACGGAAGUCCUAGUGUAGCGGUGAAAUGCGGAGAUAUUAGGAGGAACACCAGUGGCGAAGGCGGUCUGCUGGACAGCAACUGACGCUGAGGCGCGAAAGCGUGGGGAGCAAACAGGAUUAGAUACCCGGGUAGUC
Molecule: ribosomal RNA, 443 nt
Filed under: uncultured bacterium
Lineage: Bacteria
Description: partial 16S ribosomal RNA
Rfam family: Bacterial small subunit ribosomal RNA
Source: RNAcentral